UCGAGGGGUAUGGGGGGCUUGCCCCCCAGAGACCGGCGCACGGGUGCGUAACGCGUAUGCAACCUACCUUCCACAGGGGGAUAGCCCAGAGAAAUUUGGAUUAAUACCCCAUGGCAUCACGAGAUGGCAUCAUCAUAUGAUUAAAGUCACAACGGUGGAAGAUGGGCAUGCGUCCUAUUAGCUAGUUGGUGUGGUAACGGCACACCAAGGCGACGAUAGGUAGGGGUCCUGAGAGGGAGAUCCCCCACACUGGUACUGAGACACGGACCAGACUCCUACGGGAGGCAGCAGUGAGGAGUAUUGGUCAAUGGACGCAAGUCUGAACCAGCCAUGCCGCGUGCAGGAUGAAGCAUCUAUGGUGUGUAAACUGCUUUUAUACGGGAAGAAACCCCGCCUCGUGAGGCGGACUGACGGUACCGUAGGAAUAAGGACCGGCUAACUCCGUGCCAGCAGCCGCGGUAAUACGGAGGGUCCAAGCGUUAUCCGGAAUCAUUGGGUUUAAAGGGUCCGUAGGCGGCCCGGUAAGUCAGUGGUGAAAUCUCCCCGCUCAACGGGGAAACGGCCAUUGAUACUGCCGGGCUUGAAUUACCAGGAAGUAACUAGAAUAUGUAGUGUAGCGGUGAAAUGCUUAGAUAUUACAUGGAAUACCAAUUGCGAAGGCAGGUUACUACUGGU
RNAcentral lists this ribosomal RNA (675 nucleotides) under uncultured Bacteroidota bacterium. RNAcentral's name for it is "bacterial SSU rRNA". It matches the Rfam family "Bacterial small subunit ribosomal RNA", at positions 62 to 736 of the family's 1533-position model. Lineage: Bacteria; Pseudomonadati; Bacteroidota. The record is from RNAcentral.